GACGAACGCUGGCGGCGUGCUUAACACAUGCAAGUCGAACGGAAAGGCCCUGCUUUUGUGGGGUGCUCGAGUGGCGAACGGGUGAGUAACACGUGAGUAACCUGCCCUUGACUUUGGGAUAACUUCAGGAAACUGGGGCUAAUACCGGAUAGGAGCUCCUGCUGCAUGGUGGGGGUUGGACAGUUUCGGCGGUUGGGGAUGGACUCGCGGAUUAUCAGCUUGUUGGUGGGGUAGUGGCUUACCAAGGCUUUGACGGGUAGCCGGCCUGAGAGGGUGACCGGCCACAUUGGGACUGAGAUACGGCCCAGACUCCUACGGGAGGCAGCAGUGGGGAAUAUUGCACAAUGGGCGGAAGCCUGAUGCAGCAACGCCGCGUGCGGGAUGACGGCCUUCGGGUUGUAAACCGCUUUCGCCUGUGACGAAGCGUGAGUGACGGUAAUGGGUAAAGAAGCACCGGCUAACUACGUG
This 468-nucleotide ribosomal RNA is filed under the name uncultured bacterium. RNAcentral describes it as "partial 16S ribosomal RNA". It matches the Rfam family "Bacterial small subunit ribosomal RNA", at positions 28 to 507 of the family's 1533-position model. The record is from RNAcentral.